CCUACGGGUGGCAACAGUGAGGAAUAUUGGUCAAUGGGCGAGAGCCUGAACCAGCCAAGUCGCGUGAGGGAGUACUGCCCUAUGGGUUGUAAACCUCUUUUGUCGGGGAGCAAUGCCGGGCACGUGUGCCCGGAGGGAGAGUACCCGCAGAAUAAGCAUCGGCUAACUCCGUGCCAGCAGCCGCGGUAAUACGGGGGAUGCGAGGGUUAUCCGGAUUUAUUGGGUUAAAGGGGUGCGUAGGCGGAUUUUUAAGUCAAGGGUAAAAUGUCCGGGCUAAACCCGGGCCUGCCGUUGAAACUGGGGAUCUUGAGUGGGCGAGAAGUAUGUGGAAUGCGUGGUGUAGCGGUGAAAUGCAUAGAUAUCACGCAGAACUCCGAUUGCGAAGGCAGCAUACCGGCGCCCGACUGACGCUGAGGCACGAAAGCGUGGGGAUCGAACAGGAUUAGAUACCCGAGUAGUC
Molecule: ribosomal RNA, 460 nt
Filed under: uncultured bacterium
Lineage: Bacteria
Description: partial 16S ribosomal RNA
Rfam family: Bacterial small subunit ribosomal RNA
Source: RNAcentral